AACGAACGCUGGCGGCGUGCCUAACACAUGCAAGUCGAACGAGACCGUCGGGUCUUGGGGCGCACGGGUGCGUGACGCGUGGUAACCUGCCCUUAGGUUCGGAAUAACUCCCCGUGAGGUGAGCUAAUACCGCUGAGUGUCUUAGGAGCAAGGAUCUCUGGCCGUUGGGUGGGGGCGGGUUGGUUUAGGUGGUUGGUAGUGUAAAAGCCUACCAAGGGGACGUUGCAUAGCUGGUCGGUGAGCAAGGUCAGCAAGACUGGGACUGAGACACGGCCCAGACGCGUACGGGAGGGAGCAGUAGGGAGUAUUGGAGGAUGGGCGAAAGCCUGAUCCAGCAAUGCCGCGUGAGUGAUGCAGGCGUUAGGGUUGUAAAGCUCUUUUACCCGAGGUGAUAAUGACGGUACCGGGUGAAUAAGCACCGGCUAACUCCGUG
Molecule: ribosomal RNA, 433 nt
Filed under: uncultured bacterium
Lineage: Bacteria
Description: partial 16S ribosomal RNA
Rfam family: Bacterial small subunit ribosomal RNA
Source: RNAcentral